RNAcentral lists this non-coding RNA (392 nucleotides) under Georgenia sp. SUBG003. Its description in RNAcentral is "bacterial LSU rRNA". It matches the Rfam family "Bacterial large subunit ribosomal RNA", at positions 688 to 1081 of the family's 2925-position model. Lineage: Bacteria; Bacillati; Actinomycetota; Actinomycetes; Allobogoriellales; Allobogoriellaceae. The record is from RNAcentral.
CAGGGCGCACCAGUCGCGUGCUCUAGACCCGAAGCGGAGUGAUCUACCCAUGGGCAGGUUGAAGCACGUGUAAGAGCGUGUGGAGGACCGAACCCACUUAGGUUGAAAACUGAGGGGAUGACCUGUGGGUAGGGGUGAAAGGCCAAUCAAACUCCGUGAUAGCUGGUUCUCCCCGAAAUGCAUUUAGGUGCAGCGUCAUGUGUUUCUUGCCGGAGGUAGAGCUACUGGAUGGCCGAUGGGCCCUACAAGGUUACUGACGUCAACCAAACUCCGAAUGCCGGUAAGUGAGAGCAUGGCAGUGAGACUGCGGGCUAAGGUUCUGGUCAGAGGGAAACAGCCCAGACCACCGGCUAAGGCCCCCAAGCGUGUGUAAGUGGGAAAGGAUGUGGAGU